Eriocheir sinensis (Chinese mitten crab) is the source of this 544-nucleotide long non-coding RNA. RefSeq lists it as uncharacterized. The transcript is spliced from 3 exons. The record is from RefSeq and is a predicted model, not a curated record. Lineage: Eukaryota; Metazoa; Arthropoda; Malacostraca; Decapoda; Varunidae.
ACACCCCCACUCACGGUGUGCGGGGGACUGGGCCGGACGUGGAAUCUGAACACUAUCCAUUUUUAGUAUUUCUUUUGCCAACGUUUAUUUAAGUAGUAGCGAGAAUCUAAGUGCAGUAAGACGUGGAAUGCAGCAUCAAUACUUUGACGACACCGAAACACCUGCCACAGGCUGCAGCACAGCGCAUCGUUGGGAGUGGUGUGGCCGUCGAGAGGCUCAGGUAACACCCGGCCUGUCAUCCUCCAUUGAUCGCCUCGGCAGGUGUGGUGGUGGUCGUUGGACAGCUGCAGGGGACGCCUCGCCGCUCAGGUGUGAUGCUCCAGUGACAAUCAGGUGUGGUUACAACGUGACCCGGCAGGUGUUACAGCCCUCCAACAAGCUGUGUCCCGCGUCAGAUGUCCAAAGCUGCCUGGAUGAAGAUGUACCUUGCAUUUUGGUGGGACAGCCGGGUUGGUAUUCAACCUUCUGUCAGGGAGGAUACAUGUUUGUAAAUUAUGUUCUGUGCUUACCAAGUCAAAGAUUUAAAAUAAAAUUAAGUAAAGUA